This is a non-coding RNA of Myotis brandtii (Brandt's bat), 166 nucleotides long. Lineage: Eukaryota; Metazoa; Chordata; Mammalia; Chiroptera; Vespertilionidae. The record is from Rfam.
AUACUUACCUGGCAGGGGAGAUACCAUGAUCACGAAGGUGGUUUUCCCAGGGCGAGGCUUAUCCAUUGCACUCCGGAUGUGCUGACCCCUGCGAUUUCCCCAAAUGUGGGAAACUCGACUGCAUAAUUUGUGGUAGUGGGGGACUGCGUAAAAAAAAAUUUUUUUU